RNAcentral lists this ribosomal RNA (1703 nucleotides) under Bulbochaete rectangularis var. hiloensis. RNAcentral describes it as "SSU rRNA". It matches the Rfam family "Bacterial small subunit ribosomal RNA". Lineage: Eukaryota; Viridiplantae; Chlorophyta; Chlorophyceae; Oedogoniales; Oedogoniaceae. The record is from RNAcentral.
GAAUAGGAGAGCUUGAUCCUGGCUCCGCCAAAACGCCUUUGUUUGGCCUGACACAUGCUAGUGAAUUAACACCAAUGGAGUUAUUCGCGUACAGGUGAGUAAAACGCGGGAAUGUACCCCUAAAAGUCUACAAAGUAUAGAAAAGGGAUCAGCUCACGUAGGAUUAGGUUGUUGGGCAGGUAAAAGCUGCCCAAGCCGAAAAUCUUUAGCCUUCCUCAGCGGGAGUUAGGCCACAGUGGAACUGAGAAAAGGACCACCCAUAGGCAGCAGUGGGGAAUAUUUGACAAUAGGCGAAAGCCUGAUCGAUCCAGAACAAUGGAGUGAUACCGUAACAGGUACGAUCCGGGAAGACCUAAGUCGUCAAGCUCUGUACAUAUAGCUAGAAAAUAGAUCUGUCUUUAUGUAAAGUCCCAACCAACUCUGUGCCAGCAGUUGCGGUAAUACAGAGGGGGCAAGCGUUUGGCGUAUUGACUGGGCUUACAGCGCACGUAGGCUGUUAUCUUGUUGAAGCUUAUUUUUGCCAUUGCAUACCAAUGGAAUAAUAUGUCUUACCAAAUAGCUUGAGUCGGUAUCAGGAAAGGAGAACUUUUCAUGUAUAGGUGAAAUUAGACCAUAUGAAAAAGAAUGCCAAAGGCGAAGGCACCUUUCUAGAACCAAACUGACGCUCAGGUGCGGAAGCGCGGGGAGCAAAAGGGAUUAGACACCCCAGUAGUCCGCGCCGUCAACGAUAGGUGUAGGGCGGAUCCUUUUUAUACUUGCUCUAAAUAAAAAGAGCUGAAGUCAUAGCAAAAGCAUAAACACCUCGCCUGGGGAGUACGGUCGCAAGGCUGAAACUCAAAGGAAUUGGCAGUAUACGAGAUCAGCGGUGGAACAUGCGGUUUAAUUCGAUAUAACGCGAAAAACCUUACCACUCUUUGCAUUUUUUACAUAGAGCUAGAUGUUCUUUGUUAAUAACAGGCGUUGCAUGGCUGUCGUCAGUUCGUGGUGUCUAGCCGUUCAGGUUCAUUCCUUGUAACGAACGAAACCCUCGUGUUAAUUGGCAGCCGUUUUGCUAAUUAACAACAGUUAAGCUUCAAUAUAGAGCGGUUGGCCUUAUUUGCUCCGCUCAUCCUAACAUAAAGGACGAGGAUCACGUCAAGUCAUCAUGGCCCUUAUGGAGUGGGCAACACGUGUGUGACAUUGAUAAUCACAAAAGGAAGCUAUGGUUUAAAGCCGGCGCCAAUCCCUAAAAAUUGUCACAGUUCGGAUUGUUUUCUGCAACUCGAAAACAUGAAGUUGGAAUCGCGAGUAAUCGUGGAUCAGCACGCCGCGGUGAAAAUAAUAUAGUAUCGUAUGUGCACACAUCGCCCGUCACGUUCAGAAAGUUUAGUGUAUUUAAAAACCGGGUAUUUGGGGAUAAAAAUAAAGUCCACUUAGCAUUGCUAUAAAUACAAAGUCUUAUUUUUAAUAAAUAUAUCGAAAAACUGUAUAAACUAUAAAGGACCAAUUAAGAAAAAAGAAAGAGGGCAGAUUUGUCUUAUACCCGUGCAUCCCGAUACAGUUAUAGUGACUACCCUCUCAAAUAAUAAUGAUAAACAUACUAAGGAUACUUAUUUGAUUAUAAAGUUAUCUCUGUCAACUGCCUUGGAUAAAAUAUGCUUAGCAAUUUGAAUGAAGUCGAAACAGGUAGUUCUAGAGGAAUCUGGAGCUGAAUAGAUAAUAGG